ACGGGUGAGUAAUGUGUGGGUAAUCUGCCUUUCAGAGGGGGAUAACCCGGCGAAAGCUGGGCUAAUACCCCAUGAUAUUGCUUGGAUUUUGGUUCGAGUAAUUAAAGGAUGGCCUCUAUUUAUAAGCUAUCGCUGAGAGAUGAGCUCACAUCCUAUCACGCUUGUUGGUGAGGUAAUGGCUCACCAAGGCGACGACGGGUAGCCGGCCUGAGAGGGUGUCCGGCCACACUGGAACUGAGACACGGUCCAGACUCCUACGGGAGGCAGCAGUGGGGAAUUUUUCGCAAUGGGGGCAACCCUGACGAAGCAACGCCGCGUGGAGGAUGAAGGCCCUAGUGGUCGUAAACUCCUGUCUAGGGGGACGAAAGCGUCUAUCGCGAAUAGUGGUAGAUGUUGACUGUACCUCUGGAGGAAGCUCCGGCUAACUCCGUGCCAGCAGCCGCGGUAAUACGGGGGGAGCAAGCGUUACUCGGAAUUAUUGGGCGUAAAGGGCGCGUAGGCGAUCCUGUAAGUCUCGUGUGAAAUCCCAGGGCUUAACCCUGGAAUGGCAUGAGAAACUGCGGGAUUUGAGUUCCGGAGAGGAA
This 584-nucleotide ribosomal RNA is filed under the name uncultured bacterium. RNAcentral describes it as "bacterial SSU rRNA". It matches the Rfam family "Bacterial small subunit ribosomal RNA", at positions 102 to 659 of the family's 1533-position model. The record is from RNAcentral.